Molecule: ribosomal RNA, 468 nt
Filed under: uncultured bacterium
Lineage: Bacteria
Description: partial 16S ribosomal RNA
Rfam family: Bacterial small subunit ribosomal RNA
Source: RNAcentral
GACGAACGCUGGCGGCGUGCCUAACACAUGCAAGUCGAACGGAAAGGCGCUGCUUUUGCGGGGUGCUCGAGUGGCGCACGGGUGAGAAACACGUGAGUAUCCUGCCCUUGACUUUGUGAUAUCUUCAGGCAACUGCGGAUAAUACCGGAUAGGAGCUCCUGCUGCAUGGUGGGGGUUGGAAAGUUUCGGCGGUUGGGGAUGGACUCGCGGGUUAUCAGCUUGUUGGUGGGGUAGUGGCUUACCAAGGCUUUGACGGGUAGCCGGCCUGGGAGGGUGAACAGGCACCAGGGGACUGAGAGACGGCCCAGACGGGUACGUGAGGCAGCAGUGGGAAGUAUUGCACAAUGAGCGGAAGCGUGUUGCGGCGACGCCGCGAGCGUGAAGACGGCCUUCGGGUGGUGAACCGCUUUCGCCUGUGACGAAGCGUGAGUGACGGUAAUGGGUAAAGAAGCACCGGCUAACUACGUG